This 468-nucleotide ribosomal RNA is filed under the name uncultured bacterium. RNAcentral's name for it is "partial 16S ribosomal RNA". It matches the Rfam family "Bacterial small subunit ribosomal RNA", at positions 28 to 507 of the family's 1533-position model. The record is from RNAcentral.
GACGAACGCUGGCGGCGUGCUUAACACAUGCAAGUCGAACGGAAAGGCCCUGCUUUUGUGGGGUGCUCGAGUGGCGAACGGGUGAGUAACACGUGAGUAACCUGCCCUUGACUUUGGGAUAACUUCAGGAAACUGGGGCUAAUACCGGAUAGGAGCUCCUGCUGCAUGGUGGGGGUUGGAAAGUUUCGGCGGUUGGGGAUGGACUCGCGGCUUAUCAGCUUGUUGGUGGGGUAGCGGCUUACCAAGGCUUUGACGGGUAGCCGGUCUGAGAGGGUGACCGGCCACAUUUGGACUGAGAUACGGCCCAGACUCCUACGGGAGGCAGCAGUGGGGAAUAUUGCACAAUGGGCGGAAGCCUGAUGCAGCAACGCCGCGUGCGGGAUGACGGCCUUCGGGUUGUAAACCGCUUUCGCCUGUGACGAAGCGUGAGUGACGGUAAUGGGUAAAGAAGCACCGGCUAACUACGUG